CCUACGGGUGGCAGCAGUGGGGAAUAUUGGGCAAUGGGCGAAAGCCUGACCCAGCAACGCCGCGUGAAGGAAGAAGGCCUUCGGGUUGUAACCUUCUUUUGACGGGGAAGAGAAGAAGACGGUACCUGUCGAAUAAGCCACGGCUAACUACGUGCCAGCAGCCGCGGUAAUACGUAGGUGGCAAGCGUUGUCCGGAUUUACUGGGUGUAAAGGGCGUGUAGCCGGGCUGAGAAGUCAGGUGUGAAAUUCGGGGGCUCAACCCCCGAACUGCAUUUGAAACUGUUGGUCGUGAGUAUCGGAGAGGCAGGCGGAAUUCCUAGUGUAGCGGUGAAAUGCGUAGAUAUUAGGAGGAACACCAGUGGCGAAGGCGGCCUGCGGGACGACAACUGACGGUGAGGCGCGAAAGCGUGGGGAGCAAACAGGAUUAGAUACCCGAGUAGUC
Molecule: ribosomal RNA, 442 nt
Filed under: uncultured bacterium
Lineage: Bacteria
Description: partial 16S ribosomal RNA
Rfam family: Bacterial small subunit ribosomal RNA
Source: RNAcentral